CUACGGAGGGUGCAAGCGUUACUCGGAAUCACUGGGCGUAAAGCGCGCGCAGGCGGCUAUUUAAGUUGGAUGUGAAAGCCUACGGCUCAACCGUAGAACUGCAUCCAAAACUAUUUAGCUAGAGUGUGGGAGAGGAAGAUGGAAUUAGUUGUGUAGGGGUAAAAUCCGUAGAGAUAACUAGGAAUACCAAAAGCGAAGGCAAUCUUCUGGAACACUACUGACGCUGAGGCGCGAAAGCGUGGGGAGCAAACAGGAUUAGAAACCCGGGUAGUCC
This 274-nucleotide ribosomal RNA is filed under the name uncultured bacterium. RNAcentral describes it as "partial 16S ribosomal RNA". It matches the Rfam family "Bacterial small subunit ribosomal RNA", at positions 523 to 796 of the family's 1533-position model. The record is from RNAcentral.